GGGUUGUAAAGCACUUUAAGUGGGGAGGAAAGCGCUGCGUGAAUAUCGUAGUGCCGUGACGUUACCCACAGAAUAAGCACCGGCAAACUCCGUGCCAGCAGCCGCGGUAAUACGGAGGGUGCGAGCGUUAAUCGGAAUUACUGGGCGUAAAGCGCACGUAGGCGGUUCUGUAAGUGGGAUGUGAAACCCCCGGGCUUAACCUGGGACUUGCAUACCAGACUGCAAAGCUAGAGUAUGAGAGAGGGUGGUGGAAUUUCCGGUGUAGCGGUGAAAUGCGUAGAGAUCGGAAGGAACAUCAGUGGCGAAGGCGGCCACCUGGCUUAAUACUGACGCUGAGGUGCGAAAGCGUGGGGAUCAAACAGGAUUAGAUACCCUGGUAGUCCACGCCGUAAACGAUGAGAACU
RNAcentral lists this ribosomal RNA (404 nucleotides) under uncultured bacterium. RNAcentral describes it as "bacterial SSU rRNA". It matches the Rfam family "Bacterial small subunit ribosomal RNA", at positions 420 to 817 of the family's 1533-position model. The record is from RNAcentral.